CGAGGCCCGGAGCGCGUUUCUGGCUCACGUGAGAUCAUUGACAGAACCAUGUCAAUGAAAAGUGUGAAAUUUUCAUGUGUUGAAUUCUGGGCCAUCAUUAAGUUUCUGUUCCUGCAGAAGGAAACUCCAAAGGGAAUCCUUGAGUAUAUGAUGCCAACAUUGAGUGACAAGUGCUCAUCAUACCCAACUGUGAAAAAGUGGUGUGCCGAUUUUCAUUGUGGAUAUUCUGAGACUUAGGAUGUAGCAAGAACUGGGAGGCCUUCAACAUUGUCAGCUCCUGAAAUUGUUGAUCAUGUUCAAGAUCUGUAGUCUGUUGUUGAUAACCCUUGGAUUGGCAGGGUGGGUUAAACGAUAAUGCACAGUGAGAGCUAUGUGUUCUCUUCCGCCCAAGUUCUUGAAAGGCUUUUAUCCAUGUACUCAUAAUGUUUUCAUAUUUCAUGUUGAAAUGAGGUUUCUGGCCAUCCUGUAUCAUGAGGUCUGUAUCUGGAUCCUAUAUUUCAGGUAUAAGAUUCUGCAGCCAGUAGCUGUUUACAAACAUCUCUAAUAAAGUGUUUACAAAUA
Long non-coding RNA from Varanus komodoensis (Komodo dragon), 561 nucleotides. RefSeq lists it as uncharacterized. The transcript has 2 exons. NCBI's taxonomy places the organism in Eukaryota, Metazoa, Chordata, Lepidosauria, Squamata, Varanidae. The record is from RefSeq and is a predicted model, not a curated record.